ACGAUUAUUUGGUUCGCGUUAUCCUUGCACAAGUGGAACUAGGGAAUAUAGAACUAGGAAAAACAAUGACCACUGGACCGAGGAUGAGGUUAUAGAACUUGUGGAUGGUGUGUCAAAGGAAGGAAUUGGAAAGUGGAGCAAACUGAAAGGAAUAUACUUCUCAACAUCGAUUCGAACACCUGUCCACCUCAAGGAUAAAUGGAGGAACUUGGUGAGAGCUUGCAAGGCCAAGAAUGACUCCAAAAAGAAGAUAAAUGCACACAAGGCUACGGGGUUGAUUGUACGGAGAUUCAAGCACCGUAUACUGGCCAUAGAAGCCAAGCGUCUUGGUAAGAAAAAGAAAUGAAUUCGGAUCAGCAAAAAAAACGUGCUCAACGCGAGUCGGGCUCCAAAAUUAACAAGGCUAUUACCAAAACCUGAGUCGUAUUAUACGUAUAUAUGCUAUGUGUGUAGUUACUGCACCAUGGUGCACGGAUUGGACAAGAUGAAUGAUGUCUGCACGUAGGCGUAGCACUAGAUGCUCUCUCACUGAUGUAGGCAUGUAGCAAUGAUAAUGCUGUGUAUAUAUACCUCUUUAAGAAAGCGAAAGUAGUGUGUAGUGUGCACGAAAGCAUGC
Molecule: long non-coding RNA, 616 nt
Organism: Sorghum bicolor (sorghum)
Lineage: Eukaryota; Viridiplantae; Streptophyta; Magnoliopsida; Poales; Poaceae
Exons: 3
Source: RefSeq, a predicted model, not a curated record